RNAcentral lists this ribosomal RNA (254 nucleotides) under uncultured bacterium. RNAcentral's name for it is "partial 16S ribosomal RNA". It matches the Rfam family "Bacterial small subunit ribosomal RNA", at positions 524 to 776 of the family's 1533-position model. The record is from RNAcentral.
UACGUAGGGUGCGAGCGUUGUCCGGAAUUAUUGGGCGUAAAGAGCUCGUAGGCGGCUUGUCGCGUCGGAUGUGAAAGCCCGGGGCUUAACUCCGGGUCUGCAUUCGAUACGGGCAGGCUAGAGUUCGGUAGGGGAGAUCGGAAUUCCUGGUGUAGCGGUGAAAUGCGCAGAUAUCAGGAGGAACACCGGUGGCGAAGGCGGAUCUCUGGGCCGAUACUGACGCUGAGGAGCGAAAGCGUGGGGGAGCGAACAGG